RNAcentral lists this long non-coding RNA (282 nucleotides) under Carassius auratus (goldfish). RNAcentral describes it as "lncRNA (ENSCARG00000011454.1)". The record is from RNAcentral. Lineage: Eukaryota; Metazoa; Chordata; Actinopteri; Cypriniformes; Cyprinidae.
ACAGGAGAGAGACUUCGAUCAUCACACACACUGACGGGCAUUGGAUCACCACACAUCUAUCAAGCUUUUCCAUGUUGGCAUCUGCAUUUUGCUUCUAGCAAGUAACAGAUGGAUUUACUCCAAAGUACAGUAGAGCUGGACCGGAAUCACAGCCUCACAGACGACUUUGUGCUCUCUCUCCAGACACUCUGUGCAGGAAGAGUUUCCCCACCCCAGGCUGCAACCUGAGAGAUGUGUGCUUGGAUUGCACAAAGUUUGUGGCCGUUCCGGUAUAAAUAAAUA